CGAACAUGGUGUCCUGUUGCAGACUGUCAGACAGUGUGCCCUGUUGCCUCGAGUGACCCAGGACAGCCUGUGCUGGUGGAAUGCCCUUCUUGCCACCUGAAAUUCUGCUCGUGUUGCAAGGAUGCUUGGCAUGCAGAGGUCUCCUGUAGAGACAGUCAGCCUAUUGUCCUGCCAACAGAGCACCGAGCCCUCUUUGGGACAGAUGCAGAAGCCCCCAUUAAGCAGUGCCCAGUUUGCCGGGUUUAUAUCGAACGCAAUGAAGGCUGCGCUCAGAUGAUGUGCAAAAACUGCAAGCAUACAUUUUGCUGGUACUGCCUCCAGAACUUGGAUAAUGACAUUUUCCUCAGACAUUAUGACAAAGGGCCAUGCAGGAAUAAACUUGGCCACUCAAGAGCAUCAGUGAUGUGGAACCGAACACAGGUGGUGGGGAUUCUCGUAGGCUUGGGCAUCAUUGCCUUGGUUACUUCACCCUUGUUACUCCUGGCCUCCCCAUGUAUAAUCUGUUGUGUCUGCAAGUCCUGUCGGGGCAAGAAGAAAAAGCACGACCCAUCCACAACCUAAAGAUCUCUGUGUUCAUACGCCCCAGAUAUGUGAGUUACAUGAGAUGGCACAGUGAUAAAGCCCCAUUUAGUGACCUUGCCUCCUUCUCCUUGCCAACUUUGAAAGUGCCUCCGUGUCCAGACUUUGAACUUGCCUGCCAGCCUUCAGCAUCAGGAAAGGCCAAGUCCUGGGUGUGAGUGUUCCUGUGUAACAAGAACUGGGCUCAACGGUCCAGCUGUUUCUAUGGAGCUUUGGGGUUCCUUGAGAUGAAUGAACAUAUCAUUUUAUCAUCCAAAGGAUCUCACUGGACUGUUCAACUUCCAGCCAAAUUCAAGGAGCUUGCGGGAACAUUUGAUAUAACAAAUGUGUUGUCAUUGUUGGCAACAUACAAGAUAACCAAGAAGCUGGAGUCUGUUCUGUGUUGAUUUGACUGCCAUGAGAAACACAGGGGAAACCUGAUGAGGAGAAGGAUAAGACUGCGUAAGGAGAAAUCCUCAUAGGAGCUAUAAAGCAGGCUGCUGAUCUCAGCAGUUGAUAUGGUGGUUGUGCCUCUGCUGGCUACUGGGUGUGCUGUCCCCAUGUUCCCGCUGUGAUUUGGCAGAAACACAAUAGGCUUCUCCUUGUGUGAUCUCAGCUUCAAGCAGGUGAAACUGCUGUGCAGAGGGAGUUGCCCCUUCCCAGUAAAAGAGUUGCAGCCUGUUAAACAAUGUGGUCUAAUUUAGUGUCUCUCCCUUGGCAAAUGUAAGUUUUCUAAGUUGGCCAACUUGUCUCUUACAGCCAGUGGCUGUGGUCUACAGAAUUGUUUCAUAUAAAAUACGGGUAGAGUGGUAGAGUUUCAAAACUUUCGUCAUAGAUAUCUGGGACCUUUCUCAGGAUCUGUGUUCACACAGCCAAUAGAUUUGGAAUCAGGCCUAAGAGUACACAUGGAGGGUAAAUAUUAAAGUGCGUAUUAUGUACAUCUAGAAUCCAUGUGACUUGCAGCCUACCUGUAAUUUCUAUCCAUUGAGCAUGCAUGGAUAUACCCAAUAGUACACACAAAAUAAAUGUUUACUUAAGAGCCAUUCUAUCCUUUUGUGACUGAAAUGGUUUAUUGUAAAUCUGCCUAAAGAUUUUUUGCAUAUUAUAUAUGUGAAUUUUGGUUGUAAGUUCAUAACUUACCCAAGGGUAUAGACUCAUAACUCUUUUAAAACAGUGCUUAGUACAAUAUCCUGCCAUCUCUGUAAAAACGCUAAUUGAUAACCGAGUCAUUUACAUGUUUUCGAACACAGAAUAGCUCUUUUCUCAGCAUCAUUAUUGCUCUUUCAGCAUCUGUUAGGACAGUCUGAAUACUUUCUGUUUCAAGGCACUGAUAAAACCGCAACAAAAACAUGUAAG
RNAcentral lists this long non-coding RNA (1914 nucleotides) under Homo sapiens (human). Its description in RNAcentral is "HSALNT0102114". Lineage: Eukaryota; Metazoa; Chordata; Mammalia; Primates; Hominidae. The record is from RNAcentral.